CAAAAAAUGGAUGUUCAAGACACACAAACAACCACAACUGUUUAAUUUUAGGUGAUAUUCAAUGGUCAAGACAGACUAAGCGACUUAGUUGCGCGGUGGCCAGGGUCAACGCAUGACAGCCGGAUUUUGAGGGAGAGUGGGGUAUUUCAAUUGUUUGAGCGUGGGCAUGUGGCUGGUGAGAACAAGUACCUGCUUGGGGACAGUGGCUAUCCCUGCAAGCAGUGGUUGCUCACUCCCUAUUUAAACCCAGCCAAUGCCCUACAGGUGAACUACAACAGAGCUCACAAAAUAACAAGAUCAAAAGUCGAAAGAGGAAUAGGCCAACUGAAAAGAAGAUGGGGAGUGCUGCAUGGCGAAAUUCGUUUGAAACCUGAAAAGGCGUGCCAAGUUAUCAUGGCAUGUGGAGUGUUGCAUAACAUAUGCAAAGACAUGAACAUUCCAAUGAUUGGGGAUGAUAUACCAGACAACAUGCAGCAGGAAGUACCUUACCAUGGCAUACAGAAUGGGCUUCGAUAUAGGGAUUUUGUAUCGCAAACAUAUUUUAACUAAGGCAUGGACAUAGACAAAACUAGUCUUAAAAAUGUGUGUUCAUUUACAUUUGCUAAAGACAAAACAAGUCUAUAAAAUGUGUGUUCAUUUACAUCUGAUAAAGACAAAACAAGUCUUAAAAAUGGGUGUCCAUUUACAUCUGAUAAAGACAAAACAAGUCUUAAAAAUGUGUGUACAUUUACACCUGAUAAAGACAAAACAAGUCUUUAAAAUGUGUGUUAAUUUAAAGUGCUGUGUCUCCGAACACAAGUGACACACGGAUUUUUAAACUUUAAAUGGGAGGAGAAGCUGAUAUUAGCCGAACCUAGCGACAAUGAGUCGGGUGGCGUCCGAUGAUACCCCUGCCACAGAGCAGCUAAUACAAGUUAUAUCUCGGGGGACUAGGUGCCUGAGCUACUUUCAGCGAUACAGGGAUAUUGAAGCACUAACAUAUUUUA
This is a long non-coding RNA of Dreissena polymorpha, 986 nucleotides long. RefSeq lists it as uncharacterized. NCBI's taxonomy places the organism in Eukaryota, Metazoa, Mollusca, Bivalvia, Myida, Dreissenidae. The transcript has 3 exons. The record is from RefSeq and is a predicted model, not a curated record.